Molecule: ribosomal RNA, 246 nt
Filed under: uncultured bacterium
Lineage: Bacteria
Description: partial 16S ribosomal RNA
Rfam family: Bacterial small subunit ribosomal RNA
Source: RNAcentral
UACGCCCUAAACGAUCUUCUCUCGGUUUUCGGAGUAUCGACCCUCUGAGAGCCCAAGCUAACGCGUUAAGAGAAGCGCCUGGGAAGUACGGUCGCAAGACUAAAACUCAAAGGAAUAGACGGGGACUUGCACAAGCAGUGGAUUAUGUGGUUUAAUUCGACGAUAAACGAAGAACCUCACCAGGGUUUGAAACCUACGUGAAAGCUCCGAGAAACCGGAGCCCUCGCAAGACUAGUAGGCAGGUGC